This 370-nucleotide RNase P RNA is filed under the name Pseudohalioglobus sediminis. RNAcentral describes it as "Halioglobus sp. NY5 RNase P RNA component class A". It matches the Rfam family "Bacterial RNase P class A". Rfam says of the family: Ribonuclease P (RNase P) is a ubiquitous endoribonuclease, found in archaea, bacteria and eukarya as well as chloroplasts and mitochondria. Its best characterised activity is the generation of mature 5'-ends of tRNAs by cleaving the 5'-leader elements of precursor-tRNAs. Cellular RNase Ps are ribonucleoproteins. Lineage: Bacteria; Pseudomonadati; Pseudomonadota; Gammaproteobacteria; Cellvibrionales; Halieaceae. The record is from RNAcentral.
CGAGUCGGUCAGGCGAUCGCUCUUCGCCGCUUCUGGCUGCGAAGGGAGGAAAGUCCGGGCUCCACAGGGCAGGGUGCCAGGUAACGCCUGGGGGGCGAGAGCCCACGGAAAGUGCAACAGAAAGGAAACCGCCGCCACAGCGCUUGCUUGCAGGCCUCUGGCGGUAAGGGUGAAAAGGUGCGGUAAGAGCGCACCGCGCGGCUGGUAACAGGCGCGGCGAUGGUAAACCCCACCCGGAGCAAGACCAAAUAGGAACCCGUCAGCCGUGGCCCGCGGUGGGUUCGGGUAGGUCGCUUCAGGCAGCUGGCGACAGCUGUCGCAGAUGAAUGGUCGUCCACGACAGAACCCGGCUUAUCGACCGACUCGACCU